Helianthus annuus (common sunflower) is the source of this 1531-nucleotide RNA transcript. It is a transcript of the gene named protein AAR2 homolog, with no coding region annotated. The record is from RefSeq and is a predicted model, not a curated record. Lineage: Eukaryota; Viridiplantae; Streptophyta; Magnoliopsida; Asterales; Asteraceae. The transcript is spliced from 13 exons.
AGAAGGUUGUAGUAGCAAAAAAACACUCUCGUCUACCAUUCCCACUCAUCAAAACACAAAAUUUACAAAAACCCUUGAUCAAUCCAUCUCUCAAAACCCUAAAGAAUCAGCAAUGGACGCAGAAACAGCUUUGGAGUUGGUAAAGAAAGGGGCUGCUCUUCUUUUUCUUGAUGUUCCUCAACACACCCUUUUCGGCAUCGAUACUCAGAUAUUUUCUGUGGGCCCUAAUUUCAAAGGUAUUAAAAUGAUUCCGCCUGGUCCUCACUUCGUCUAUUACAGUUCUUCAAACAGAGGUGGCAGUGAGUUUUCACCGAUGAUCGGUUUCUUUAUUGAUUUGAAUCCUUCUGAGGUAAUUGUUCGUAAGUGGGACCCGCAAGAGGAGCGACUAGUCAAAGUACCAGAAGAAGAGGAAGAGAGAUACUCACAAGCCGUAAAAAGUUUAGAGUUCGACAAGUACCUCGGGCCUUAUACCCUAAGCCAGUACGGAGAGUGGAAAAUGUUAUCAAACUACAUUACAAAGAGCGUCAUUGAACGUAUAGAACCCAUUGGAGGAGAUAUCACCGUUAUCCACGAACCCGACAUUCUUGAAAACGGUCCUAAAACCGCAAUGGAGGAAGCUUUGUCCGAGCAGUUGAAGAAUACUAACGUUCCAACGUCUGACGAUACGCUUAAAAAACGAGGUUGUUAUUACACGAAAAUUCCCCGUCUAAUUAAGAAAAAGGGUGUCGUCAGCCAAGAUCUUACUUCAUUGAAUCUCGACAAGACAAGUUUGUUGGAAAGCAUAUUGAUGAAAGACUAUGGAGGAACCGAAGAUUUGCUUCUUGGAGAGCUGCAAUUUGCUUUUAUUGCUUUUUUGAUGGGGCAAUCACUAGAAGCAUUUCUGCAAUGGAAAGCUAUUGUUCACCUUUUAUUUGGUUGUACUGAAGCUCCUCUGCGCUCAAGGAGUCGUUUAUUCACCAAGUUUACGAAGGUCGUUUAUUAUCAACUCAAGUAUGCAUUACAGAAAGGUCAAACAGACAAUAACGUUGCUGCGAAGGGACCUAUAACAUUGUUGGAUGAUUCUUUUUUAUCUUCCGAUAGUUUUCUUCAUCACUUGUGUAAGGAGUUCUUUUCGCUCAUGCUUGAAGCUCGUGUUGUUGAUGGGGACCUUUUGUCUUGGUGAGAUUACUUAUUAAUGUAGACAAGGAGACUGAAAGAAUUACUCGAGACGUCUCUAGGAUGGAUAUUUCACCAGAACAAUGGAGAUGGAGUCUUUUACGAAGAAGAUGACGAGUUUGCUCCGGUGGUUGUGAUGACGGAUGAGUGAAAUUACAAGUUAACGGCGUGAUCUGGAGAUCACAUCAGGAUUCUACUUACGCGGAUCAAGAAUCUUUGUUGCAAUGUGUUCGAUGUCCCCUUUGUGUAUGCAAUCAAUGGUCAAAGGUUAUUAUAUCAAAAGUUGUAGCAGAUGGGCUAAUUGAUAAUUGUAGGUUGAGAAUUUUUCAUGGUAUUUAUUUGAUAUAGUCGAUGAAGUAACUCCUAAUUAGUAACA